CCUAGCUAACUAAGAUAGGAGCGUCUUUCCAAUUACCAAGCCGACAUCUUAGCCACUGGGCUGCACAUUAAAAUUGUUGGGACCUUCACCAAUUUCAAUAUCAUUAACUUCUGUCAGCAAGUUCCCAAGAGGAUCCUCAUACUCAAUGUUACCAUGCAUCAUCCCCACAAAGUAUGCAUCACCGUGUGCAGGUGAAGGAUUCUGUGAAAUAUUUUUGGUGUCACUAUCCUGGACCACUAUUAUCCCUUCCUGAACCAUUCUUUCUAUCUCUCAUUUCAAAUCCCGACAACUUUUGACAUUGUGCCC
RNAcentral lists this long non-coding RNA (306 nucleotides) under Nicotiana benthamiana. Its description in RNAcentral is "long non-coding RNA (NBEN_LNC001775)". Lineage: Eukaryota; Viridiplantae; Streptophyta; Magnoliopsida; Solanales; Solanaceae. The record is from RNAcentral.